RNAcentral lists this ribosomal RNA (256 nucleotides) under uncultured bacterium. RNAcentral describes it as "partial 16S ribosomal RNA". It matches the Rfam family "Bacterial small subunit ribosomal RNA", at positions 524 to 776 of the family's 1533-position model. The record is from RNAcentral.
UACAUGGGGUGCAAACGUUGCUCGGAAUUAUUGGGCGUAAAGCGCACGUAGGCGGUUCGUUAAGUCGGAUGUGAAAGCCCUCGGCUCAACUGAGGAAGUGCACCCGAAACUGGCGAGCUUGAGUACGAAAGAGGAUCGCGGAAUUCCCGGUGUAGAGGUGAAAUUCGUAGAUAUCGGGAGGAACACCGGGUGGCGAAGGCGGCGAUCUGGGUCGAUACUGACGCGUGAGGUGCGAAAAGCGUGGGGAGCGAACAGG